CGUGGACAGGCGGCGGCGCGCCGGUAGACGGUGUGGCCUCAGAAAGAAGAUUUACUUCGCCUCAAUCGCUUUCAAAAAAUAUGGGGCUUCGAAUCUGGUGCAAGCGGAUCUAGUAAAAUGGAAAUCCGAUGAAAAACAAACCUGUGUUUAACAACUUGUCCAUGAUCUGGAGUUGACGAACAAAGCGAUUUAGAGGAACCAAGACGAAAGGUUUAGAGGAACCAAGACGUGAGAUGGGAGAAAGAGGAACAGAACGAGAAUGGAGAGCGUCGAACGAAG
RNAcentral lists this long non-coding RNA (279 nucleotides) under Zea mays. RNAcentral describes it as "drought responsive lncRNA". The record is from RNAcentral. Lineage: Eukaryota; Viridiplantae; Streptophyta; Magnoliopsida; Poales; Poaceae.